CCUACGGGAGGCAGCAGUGAGGAAUAUUGGUCAAUGGUCGGGAGACUGAACCAGCCAAGCCGCGUGAGGGAGGAAGGCACAGAGGAUUGUAAACCUCUUUUGUCAGGGAACAAAGACUGGGACGCGUCCCCGGAUGAGUGUACCUGAAGAAAAAGCAUCGGCUAACUCCGUGCCAGCAGCCGCGGUAAUACGGAGGGGGCAAGCGUUAUCCGGAUUUACUGGGUGUAAAGGGAGCGUAGGCGGCAGCGCAAGUCUGGAGUGAAAUCCCAUGGCUUAACCCUGGAACUGCCUUGGAAACUGGGCAGCUAGAGUGCAGGAGAGGUAGGCGGAAUGCCUAGUGUAGCGGUGAAAUGCGUAGAUAUUAGGAGGAACACCGGUGGCGAAGGCAGCUUACUGGACUGUAACUGACGUUGAGGCUCGAAAGCGUGGGGAGCAAACAGGAUUAGAUACCCUGGUAGUC
This 460-nucleotide ribosomal RNA is filed under the name uncultured bacterium. Its description in RNAcentral is "partial 16S ribosomal RNA". It matches the Rfam family "Bacterial small subunit ribosomal RNA", at positions 338 to 795 of the family's 1533-position model. The record is from RNAcentral.